Molecule: long non-coding RNA, 1374 nt
Organism: Pezoporus occidentalis (night parrot)
Lineage: Eukaryota; Metazoa; Chordata; Aves; Psittaciformes; Psittacidae
Exons: 2
Source: RefSeq, a predicted model, not a curated record
GAGCUCCUGGUUCUUUUGCACAUCCCAUGCAGUGAGAUCUCAGAAUUUCAGGAGCAAUCACUGUUUUGUAACCACCAUAAACCAAGCCUGCAAGGGGGAAGGAGGUUUCUGCAGUACAGGUGUUGCUGAAAGAUAAGGUCAGCUACAUCCCAUCCUAAGGGAAAAUGCAUAGGAUUCAUGGAAAGGUGAUAAAGCUUUUGGCUAAAGGUUGUAAGUGGUGCAUGCCAGGAGUCUAUUAUUAAACAUUACACAUAGAGCCUAGUAACCGUCUAUCAGAGCUUUAUCCUCUGCUGGGUACAAGACCAGCUGGUGAAAAACUGGUUUGGAGUGAAGCAUCAUUAGUGUUUUAAAUACAGGAUAAAGAGAUCUUGAUCCUUGAAAUCUUACUCUUUCUUUUUUGUCCCCUCUCCUUCUCCAGCUUCUUUUCAAUCAAUUAAUUCAUUGAAUUAAUGAAUCCCUAUUAGCCUAAAAUGGAAAAUGAAAAACUAAGAAGUUUGCAGACAUCUUUGAUUAUACAAAAAUAAUGAAGAGUUGUACAUUACAGCCACUAGAAGAGAUCUGUCAGUAAAAGACAAAGAACCACUCCUCACCUUACCCAGCUGAAACUGAAACAUGAACGUGCAGGAAGUGAACGUGUUUACCCUCAGCUCCAUGGAGAGAAGCUUUCUUGCUCUUUUAAUCCGAGUUUCUCGUGCUGCAGAACUCGUUACUCACCACGAGCAGAGCUGCCCAUCCCUGCAGGUCCACUGCUCCGAUCCAGCAGGUUCCAGCAUCACUCUCAAAAUAAAACAAUUUACAGUUCAUAAAUGGAGAGUUCAAAGGAUGAAACAAACCCCAGACUCACAGGGUAUGCAGAAGUCAGAAGGACAGCGACAUUGUAAUUUUGCUGCCUUGCAGCAAGGGAACUGUUGAAACCAGUUCAAGCCUGUGGUGUGGAUGUGUUUCUUCAGGAGCACACUUGCUGGGAGGACAUCACUCUGGGAUCACAUUCUGCCAAAGCAUGUGCCCAGUAUGGCCUUUGUGCUAGCUCAAAGGCAGGGUUUACAGUUGGGAAGAACACUGCCUAAAGCAGCUCACAAUACUGAGCUGGCCUUAGGAGGUACAGAUGUUGCAGCACCCAAAACAAGCUGAUUUGGAUGAGUAAGUUCAAGCAGCACAAGGAGCUCAGCAGGAUGCCAGUACUUAAUGUACUGGCAGUACUUAAUGCCAUCCCUCCUGAACGAGUCUUUACAUUCUCUUAAUUACUGGUACAAGUGCAGCAUCUAAAGGCAGUAUUUAGUAUUUCUGCUGAGCCUGUCCCCCACCUUUCCAGAACAGUGUCUGAAAAACCAACCCAAAGGGCAAAGUGUGUUAUUAAAAAGGGGCUGAAGCAGC